RNAcentral lists this ribosomal RNA (194 nucleotides) under uncultured eukaryote. RNAcentral's name for it is "partial 18S ribosomal RNA". It matches the Rfam family "Eukaryotic small subunit ribosomal RNA", at positions 1 to 193 of the family's 1831-position model. The record is from RNAcentral.
GGAACCUGGUUGAUCCUGCCAGUAGUCAUACGCUUGUCUCAAAGAUUAAGCCAUGCAUGUGUAAGAUUAAAUAACUUUAUCUUGAAUCUGCGAAUGGCUCAUUAUAUCAGUUAUAGUUUAUUUGGUAAUUCUUUACUACUUGGAUAACCGUAGUAAUUCUAGAGCUAGUACAUGCAUAAAAACCCGACUUCUGG